GAUGCUGAGUAAACGAUUAAUCGAGAAACAAAUGAGUCGGAAUUUCAUCCACGUAGUCUGUCCAGAUAGUUCAUGCUUGAGCUCAUCACAUUGCUUCGUCAAAUUGCCAACAUGCGAGUUCUUUUCUUUGAUAGCAUCAGUCAGGAGCAAGUUGUAGUAGCGUCGCUGAUUCCUUUUCUUCAUGCGGUUGAGGUUUUUCCAUCGCACGAACUUCGGAAAGACUUGAUUUUCUUUACAGUCAUAAAGAAACUUCAAAUCCAACUGUGCCUUAGCCAAUCUUCUCAAAGACCGUUGGUAUUUAAUUGCAACUUGGUGACUACGUGGAUGAAAUUCCGACUCAUUUGUUUCUCGAUUAAUCGUUUACUCAGCAUC
Paramuricea clavata is the source of this 372-nucleotide non-coding RNA. Lineage: Eukaryota; Metazoa; Cnidaria; Anthozoa; Malacalcyonacea; Plexauridae. The record is from the annotation of a GenBank genome assembly.